GACGAACGCUGGCGGCGUGCUUAACACAUGCAAGUCGAACGCUAAAGCCUCUUUCGGGGGGUGCUCGUGUGGCGCACGGGUGUGUAACACACGUGUAACACCCCCCUUUCACUGUGAUAUCUUCACGAAAAUGUGGCUCUUACCGGGUAUGCUCUCCUUCUGCACAUUGUGGGUUGUGAAGUUUCGGCGGUUGGGGAUGGUCUCGCGGCUUAUCAGCUUGUUGGUGGGGUAGUGGCUUACCAAGGCGUUGACGGGUAGCCGGCCUGAGAGGGUGACCGGCCACAUUGGGACUGAGAUACGGCCCAGACUCCUACGGGAGGCAGCAGUGGGGAAUAUUGCACAAUGGGUGGAAGCCUGAUGCAGCAACGCCGUGUGCGGGAUGACGGCCUUCGGGUUGGAAACCGCUUUCGGUCAGGAAGAAGCUAUGAGUGACGGUAGCGGGUAAAGAAGCACCGGCUAACUACGUG
This 467-nucleotide ribosomal RNA is filed under the name uncultured bacterium. RNAcentral describes it as "partial 16S ribosomal RNA". It matches the Rfam family "Bacterial small subunit ribosomal RNA", at positions 28 to 507 of the family's 1533-position model. The record is from RNAcentral.